RNAcentral lists this ribosomal RNA (506 nucleotides) under uncultured Verrucomicrobiota bacterium. Its description in RNAcentral is "bacterial SSU rRNA". It matches the Rfam family "Bacterial small subunit ribosomal RNA", at positions 8 to 522 of the family's 1533-position model. Lineage: Bacteria; Pseudomonadati; Verrucomicrobiota. The record is from RNAcentral.
AGAGUUUGAUCAUGGCUCAGAACGAACGCUAGCGGCGUGGAUAAGACAUGCAAGUCGAACGGGACCAAGUUUGUAGUAAUACAGACUUGGUUCAGUGGCGCACGGGUGCGUAACACGUGAGCAAUCUGCCGGGAAGUGGGGGAUAGCUCGCCGAAAGGCGAAUUAAUACCGCAUGUGGCCAUCCUUCGAGUGGAGGAAAAGCCAAAGCAGCAAUGCGCUUCCUGAUGAGCUCGCGGCCUAUCAGCUCGAUGGCGGGGUAAUGGCCCACCAUGGCUUUGACGGGUAGCUGGUCUGAGAGGACGACCAGCCACACUGGAACUGAGACACGGUCCAGACACCUACGGGUGGCAGCAGUCGAGAAUUUUUCACAAUGGGGGAAACCCUGAUGGAGCGACGCCGCGUGGAGGAUGAAGGCCUUCGGGUUGUAAACUCCUGUCAUGCGGGAACAAGCAAGUGAUAGUACCGCAGAGGAAGAGACGGCUAACUCUGUGCCAGCAGCCGCGGUA